RNAcentral lists this ribosomal RNA (537 nucleotides) under uncultured bacterium. RNAcentral describes it as "bacterial SSU rRNA". It matches the Rfam family "Bacterial small subunit ribosomal RNA", at positions 771 to 1308 of the family's 1533-position model. The record is from RNAcentral.
AGCGAAUAGAUACCCAGGUAGUCCACGCCCUAAACGAUGUCGACUGGUUGUUGGGGGUUUGACACUCUCAGUAAACGAAAGCUAAACGCGUGAAGUCGACCGCCUGGGGAGUACGGCCGCAAGGUUAAAACUCAAAGGAAUUGACGGGGACCCGCACAAGCGGUGGAUUAUGUGGAUUAAUUCGAUGCAACGCGAAAAACCUUACCUACCCUUGACAUGUCCGGAAGGCUGCUGAAAGGCGGCUGUGCCCGAAAGGGAACUGGAACACAGGUGCUGCAUGGCUGUCGUCAGCUCGUGUCGUGAGAUGCUGGGUUAAGUCCCGCAACGAGCGCAACCCUUGUCAUUAGUUGCUACCCGCAAGGGAGCACUCUAAUGAGACUGCCGGUGACAAACCGGAGGAAGUGGGGAUGACGUCAAGUCCUCAUGGCCCUUAUGGGUAGGGCUUCACACGUAAUACAAUGGCGCGUACAGAGGGUUGCCAAGGAGCGAUCUGGAGCCAAUCCCGUAAAGCGCGUCGUAGUCCGGAUUGCAGUCUGC